This 2803-nucleotide long non-coding RNA is filed under the name Oryctolagus cuniculus (rabbit). Its description in RNAcentral is "lncRNA (ENSOCUG00000031201.1)". Lineage: Eukaryota; Metazoa; Chordata; Mammalia; Lagomorpha; Leporidae. The record is from RNAcentral.
GGGUCCCAUGAUAUAAGGGUUAAAUAGAAGCAGUUCUCUCCCCUGUCUGUCUUAUCUGGAAUGCCUGUUAGGGUUCAGGAAAACAGGUAAAUUGCAUGAACGUUGAGCUCUUACGGGAAGUAAUUGACCUCACUGCCCCGGAAGCUACAGUGCUUGGCACGCUGGCAUGUGCUUCUCUAAUCCUUUGUGUUCUCGUUAUCCUGAGCAACAUUCUACAAACCUUGUGUACAGUUCCUUGGGGCCAGUUUAUUUCCUUCAGAGGGAUCCUGGAAAGAAAUGAGGAACCCGGAAAGCAAGCUAUAGCCAUGGAGACGGUGGUAAUCCGUCCGGGCCAAGCCACACGCAGGAGGAGCCGCACUAAUUGAUACUCCCGGCAGCACAGGCUUCUUGUUUUAGAUCCCACCGCCGAUUACAAGACCUCGGAAUGCCUUAUCCUUCUCAGAUGCCUGGGCUCUGCCCUGCUAUUUGUUAGGGGACUGGUCUGUUUGUUGAAAUGGAUCCUGUGUUUAUCCGGACCUGCCAUCCUGCCCGCGUGUGCCUCCCGGGUUGGGGCUGGAGCAGGGAGCGGACAGGAGAGGGACAGCUGCGCGCCCAGCUCCGGAGAGCCCUCCCGGGCGCGCAGGACCCCGACAUCGAGGAGUCCGGGUGUCGGCUUAGGGCCGGGGCCGGGGCCGCGGGCGGCUGCGAGGAUGCCCGCGAGCUUCAGAUUCAGUUUCUUCCACAAGGGCCUUUUGUCCCCCGGGAGCCUCUCUGCCCUGCGGAGCGCAGGGGGAGACAACUUUGUCGCUCGGUACAUAGAGUGACGCCGCCAGUGCCCUCGGACGCCCGCGGCCAAGCAGCCCAGCCCACCUGACCGACCCCGACCUCCCGCGCCCCUCCCGCGCCCGCCCUCGGCCAGCCGCCCCUCCCCCGAGGCGUGGCCCCUCGCUGGGCAGCGGGGAGGGUAGCGGGAGUCGGUGGGGCCAACCGGCUCCUUCCUCCUUCCCUCCCGCUCAGGCUCCCGCGGGCCAGCCGGGGACCGCAGCCACGUCUCAAAGCCGCUCAUUGUGUGCGCCCCGGGCGGGCAGCGCAGGUAGAACCGGGCGGGCGCGGGGCGCGCAGAGCCCGGCACCGGAGGGGGCGCCCCGCUGGGUGGGAGGGUCCGCCUCACUUCCCUGCCGUGGCCCCUAGUCACCCCUACCCCCUCCAUCCCCUGCGUACGACCCCCCUCUCCGUCUUACUGCGGCUCCUGCGCUCUUUCCGGCAGCGGAACUCCAGGCGCCUACCAAAUCUCUGGACUCCCGAGCGCGCCUCUGAGAGGCCCCUCCCCGGUGUCGCCGGGUGGCCGCUUGGGACCCAAAGGAACGGUUCAGCCCCUGCCGACUCAAGAAGAGGAACUGGGCGUGGGGUGGAACGUGGAGCAGGACGCUCGGCUGAGCCCCGCCGCGCCGGGUCCCGCGGAGACGCCAAGGUCCGGGACUCGGUGGACCCUCCAGGCAUCCCCCAUGGGUUUGUGACCAGCGUCGCUCGCCCAGCAGCACUGGACAGUGGUGAGUGUCCUGGAGGGGAGGGUCCGGCAGCCGCCAGGGUGCUUUCUCUCCGCUCUCACCUCUGUGCUGCUUUGGCCCCCCGCGCCCCCUCACCUGGUCUCUUGGGUCAAGUGCGCCAGCCCCAGGAGGAUACUCCUGAGUCUGUCCUGCCCUCAGCUCUGCACGCCCUGUAUCUUGUAUCAGCCUGCUUUUCAUGACCUUAACUAAAAUGCCUGAAAGGAGUUUGGGGGGGGGGAGCUUGUUUCGUCUUACAGUUUGAGGCUACAGGCUCAGGCGACCCCACAGCCUGGCAUCUGGUGAUGGCUGGUUACGGUGGGUACGGUGGCAGUGAUCACGCCGUGACACAGGAGGGAGAGAGCAUCUCUGCCACCGCUUCUCUCAAGAGCCACCCCCCGCAGGGCAUGGCGGCAAUGACCCACAGACCCCCAUCCAGCCCCACCUCUGCCCUUGAUCCGUCAAUCCUUAUCACUAUAACUCCAGAGUUUAAACAGCUGCAUCGGUUUUGGAGAGACAAAUCCUCAACCCAUAACACUUCCCAAGAGUGAUGGUAACAGUUGGUCUCUUUGUCUUUUUUUUUUUUUUUUCAUUUUUAUUUAAUUUUACUUUAUCUGAAACAGAGACAGAGAUAGAAGCAUCUUCCAUCUGCUGGUUCACUCCCAAGAUGUCCACAAGAGCCAGGGCUGGGCCAGACUGAAGCCAGGAGCUCAGAAUCCCAUCUGGGUCUCCCACACAGGUGGCAGGGACCCAGCCAUUGAGCCACAUCUGCUGCCUCCCAGGGUGUGCAUUGCCCGGCAGCUGGCUCAGAAGAGGAGGGGCCAGGGCUGGAACCAAGCGCUCACGAUGGCACGUGGGCAAGCGCUCCGUGAUGGCAUGCGGGCGUCGCAAGCAGUGUCUUGACUGCUGCACCAGACACUCACCCCUCUUUGCUAAUUUUUAAUAACAAAGUCAUAGCUGCUUGUUUUAAAAAAAUCACACAGGGGAGGCAUUUGGUACAGAGGUUUCGAGCACCCCAGGGGACGCCCACAUCGUGUUCAAGAUCGCCUCACUCCAGUCCCAGCUCCUGCACUUCCAGUCCUACCUUCCUUCCAGUGUGCACCCUGGGAGGCACAGCCCGGAUCGCAAGUGCUCUGAUCGCUGCCACCCACAUAGGAGACUUCUGCUGGGCCCCGUCUGGGCUGUUGUGGGUAUCUGGGAAGUGAACCAGUGGAUGGAAGAGCUCCCUCUCUCUCCAUCUUUAAAAUAAAUAAGCAGUUAUAAUAAAUAAGUAAAUAAAU